Molecule: ribosomal RNA, 465 nt
Filed under: uncultured bacterium
Lineage: Bacteria
Description: partial 16S ribosomal RNA
Rfam family: Bacterial small subunit ribosomal RNA
Source: RNAcentral
GACGGACGCUGGCGGCGUGCUUAACACAUGCAAGUCGUACGGUAAGGCCCUUUCGGGGGUACACGAGUGGCGAACGGGUGCGUAACACGUGAGUAACCUGCCCACAACUUUGGGAUAACGCUAGGAAACUGGUGCUAAUACUGGAUAUGUGCUCCUGCUGCAUGGUGGGGGUUGGAAAGCUCCGGCGGUUGUGGAUGGACUCGCGGCCUAUCAGCUUGUUGGUGGGGUAGUGGCCUACCAAGGCGGCGACGGGUAGCCGGCCUGAGAGGGUGACCGGCCACAUUGGGACUGAGAUACGGCCCAGACUCCUACGGGAGGCAGCAGUGGGGAAUAUUGCACAAUGGGCGCAAGCCUGAUGCAGCAACGCCGCGUGCGGGAUGACGGCCUUCGGGUUGUAAACCGCUUUCAGCAGGGACGAAGCUUUUUGUGACGGUACCUGCAGAAGAAGCACCGGCUAACUACGUG